This 432-nucleotide ribosomal RNA is filed under the name uncultured bacterium. RNAcentral describes it as "bacterial SSU rRNA". It matches the Rfam family "Bacterial small subunit ribosomal RNA", at positions 958 to 1392 of the family's 1533-position model. The record is from RNAcentral.
AACGCGAAGAACCUUACCAGGGCUUAAAUGUAGUCUGACAGGGGUGGAAACACCCUUUUCUUCGGACAGAUUACAAGGUGCUGCAUGGUUGUCGUUAGCUCGUGCCGUGAGGUGUCAGGUUAAGUCCUAUAACGAGCGCAACCCCUGUUGUUAGUUGCCAGCGAGUCAAGUCGGGAACUCUAACAAGACUGCCGGUGCAAACCGUGAGGAAGGUGGGGAUGACGUCAAAUCAUCACGGCCCUUACGUCCUGGGCCACACACGUGCUACAAUGGCAGGUACAAUGGGCAGCCACUGCGUAAGCAGGAGCGAAUCCACAAAACCUGUCUCAGUUCGGAUCGGGGUCUGCAACUCGACCCCGUGAAGCUAGAAUCGCUAGUAAUCGGAUAUCAGCCAUGAUCCGGUGAAUACGUUCCCGGGUCUUGUACACACCG